AUGGCAUCCUCGUCUUCGGUUACACGUCGCAAGAAUACUUCCCCGCUUCUGGUCUCCACCCCUGCUGAGGACACCCCGCACCUCCAUGGCUAUUGGUCCCUUCCACCCCCGCCGGCCACCUCCGCCGGUCGCCGACCUCGUCCGUACUCGGCAUCCUCAGCCGAACGUCAUCGGGCUUCUCCAAGACCGUCCUCACUCUCAGGCAAUGAAGAUCCCCUCCACCGUGGUCGCCUGACCCAUCAGUCGCAGUCAGAAGGCUCUCGGCUUUCGGAGGAUCCUCCCCGGCCACUCGACUUCUCCGCCAAGCAUGGUCACCUAACCAAGGCACUUCCUAUGCUUAAAGUUGGUCCUCUUGUUCCCACCCCAAAGGCUACUAAGGAUGAGAUUGAGAAGAGGCAUAGGCAACAACGCAAUAUGGCAGAGGUGGUAGUCGUGUACCGGUCCGUUAUACUUCUCAUCUUCACUGCUGCACUCUUCUACUACGAAUGCCAAAGGCUGAUAAUCUUGGUCUCUGAGAUUGCUGCGGUCCUUUGCCUUCUUCUUUAUCUCUGGUCUUCCCACAUUAUGCAGUUUUGGUUAGACCGUCCAGUGACCAAGGAUGCCUCAUUGGUCGUGUUCAUUUGGUGCUUAGUGCUUUGCCUACUAGGGUUUCUUGUAGGAGUGAUGAUUAGUCCAGUUGCUGCUAUGGUCAUCACCAGUUUGGCUGCAAUAUGCAUGUCAGCAUUUUUUGUGCGAAGUCUACAUGAGUAUCUACAUACAAGAUCAGUGUGUUGUCUUAGUGAGGGAGGAGACAGUUUCUCCAGUGCCGUGGCUCACGGGGGGCAUACCAAGAACAGGAGAUCAGUUUCUCGCCAAGUUGUAUUUGCCAAGCCCCCAUGGAAAUAG
This 885-nucleotide ribosomal RNA is filed under the name Triticum aestivum (bread wheat). RNAcentral describes it as "partial small subunit ribosomal RNA". Lineage: Eukaryota; Viridiplantae; Streptophyta; Magnoliopsida; Poales; Poaceae. The record is from RNAcentral.